This is a long non-coding RNA of Sinocyclocheilus grahami, 94 nucleotides long. RefSeq lists it as uncharacterized. Lineage: Eukaryota; Metazoa; Chordata; Actinopteri; Cypriniformes; Cyprinidae. The record is from RefSeq and is a predicted model, not a curated record. The transcript is spliced from 3 exons.
UUCCUGCCCGCACAGGAACCUGGACCACAGCUAAGACCAUGUGAUGCACACAUUCCCAAAAUGAUGUGAUAGUUGUAUAUAUUUUAAAUAAACC